Non-coding RNA from Brachypodium distachyon (stiff brome), 125 nucleotides. The record is from Rfam. NCBI's taxonomy places the organism in Eukaryota, Viridiplantae, Streptophyta, Magnoliopsida, Poales, Poaceae.
CUGGUACUCCCUCCGUCCCAUAUUAAAUGACUCAAAUUUGCCCAAAUAUGCAUGUAUCUAUACCCAAAACGCGUUUAGAUACAUGUAAUAUUUCAUCACUUAAUAUGGGACGGAGGAAGUAUGUU